GACGAACGCUGGCGGCGUGCUUAACACAUGCAAGUCGAGCGGUAAGGCCCUUUCGGGGGUACACGAGCGGCGAACGGGUGAGUAACACGUGGGUGACCUGCCCUCAGCUCUGGGAUAAGCCUGGGAAACCGGGUCUAAUACUGGAUAUGACUCCAUGACGCAUGUUGUGGGGUGGAAAGCCUUGUGCGGCUGAGGAUGGGCCCGCGGCCUAUCAGCUUGUUGGUGGGGUGAUGGCCUACCAAGGCGACGACGGGUAGCCGGCCUGAGAGGGCGACCGGCCACACUGGGACUGAGACACGGCCCAGACUCCUACGGGAGGGCAGCAGUGGGGAAUCUUGCGCAAUGGGCGAAAGCCUGACGCAGCGACGCCGCGUGAGGGAUGACGGCCUCGGUGUAAC
RNAcentral lists this ribosomal RNA (398 nucleotides) under uncultured bacterium. RNAcentral describes it as "bacterial SSU rRNA". It matches the Rfam family "Bacterial small subunit ribosomal RNA", at positions 28 to 429 of the family's 1533-position model. The record is from RNAcentral.